CAGUAGGUGCAAGUCCGACCCGGAAAAUGCUCCAGCCGGAAGCAAUCGGAACAGUCAUGGAGCUAACGAAAUGGCUGAAGCCUCUGGUAAGCGUGUCACGAAUUGGUGACCGCGCGAGUGUGCAGGCCGUAACGCGA
RNAcentral lists this non-coding RNA (137 nucleotides) under Bradyrhizobium erythrophlei. The record is from RNAcentral. Lineage: Bacteria; Pseudomonadati; Pseudomonadota; Alphaproteobacteria; Hyphomicrobiales; Nitrobacteraceae.